Molecule: ribosomal RNA, 255 nt
Filed under: uncultured bacterium
Lineage: Bacteria
Description: partial 16S ribosomal RNA
Rfam family: Bacterial small subunit ribosomal RNA
Source: RNAcentral
UACGGAGGGUGCAAGCGUUGUCCGGAUUUACUGGGCGUAAAGGGCGCGUAGGCGGUCAGCACAAGUCAGUUGUGAAAUCUCCGGGCUUAACUCGGAAAGGUCAACUGAUACUGUGCGACUAGAGUGCGGAAGGGGCAACUGGAAUUCUCGGUGUAGCGGUGAAAUGCGUAGAUAUCGAGAGGAACACCUGCGGCGAAGGCGGGUUGCUGGGCCGACACGUGACGCUGAGGAGCGAAAGCGUGGGGAGCGAACAGG